CGAGACAUCCCUGCCCAUACACGACCUCUCUGUAUCCAAGCGUCGAGCGCCGCCGGCUUCUCCUCCUUUUCCCCAAUUUUUCUCUCUUUCCCAACACAUCGUUGUCGGUCGGGUCGCCCAACCCAAUUCUUCUUCCUCACACAACGGUGCCAAGCGAGGCCAUAGCACAGCCACGCGUGGGCUGCAGCUUCUGGUGGUGCUCGGCGGAGGAUUCCUGGCCGCCGUCGAGGAUGGCGGAGGAGGAAGAAGAAGAGGUCAUAGAUUGGUGGCCAUCCAGGGCACCCGUUGAUACUUGACAGUGGUGGCGAUGGCGUCGACGAUUCCCAUUCCGGUGACUGGGACAAUGGCCGGCUCAGACUCUCCCCACCACCCGAGCUCCUACCUGCCAGCAUCGGAGCUCCUCCGAUCCCCAUACUAUCACCGCGUUGGGGUAGGCACCGGGGCAGUAGGUAAGAGGCAGCAGCCAGCGCUGUUUGGUCUACGAGGUAGAGGCGGCGGGGAACGGCGGCCGGCAGCGAGGCCAGCCGGGCGCGUCGAGCUGCGGCUAUGGCUGGAGCGGAGGGGAGUUCUAGCGCCGAAGGAGGGGAGUUCUAGCGCCGAAGGAGAGCAGCGGGGAGGAACGAAGCCGGCGAGGAGGUGGUGACGGCAGAAGGAGCGAUGCGCCCGGCAUCAGGAAUCCUCAAUCCGUUGAAGCCUCUGCUCAAGUCACUCCCUCCUCCCAUCAUCUUCUCUCAUGCCAGGCGGAGGCGCAAUCGCUUUCAACCUCGACGAGAUUCGGUGGCAGGGGCAUUCACCUAUAUUUAUCUGAUUAGCAAAGAUUCUGAGAAAUUUUGUUGUACAUAUACUCAUACAUCUCACAUCCAGGAUCCAGCCCACGCCCGCACGUCCGAGCGCACUCACGCGCGGCAGCCCUAGCCUAGGCCCCAUGCGAUUGCGGCGGCGCCGGCGGGAAGCAUUCAAGCGGAGCAGGAGAGCAGCAGCUAGCGGAGCAGGCGCUUGUGGCGGCGACCGGCGGGCGGGCGUCCAGGCGAGCAGCGGCCAGCUGCGACCAGCUAGCAGUGCAGGCGACGGGAACGGCCAGACUUCUAGCUCUCUUCUUUUGACCUGUCACGUUGUCGGAUGGCGUCUCAAUUGGUACAAAAUAAUCUGUGAGAACUUGCAGAGCAAACUGCAGAGAUACUAAGGUUAUGAACAUGACAGUGGUCAUUGCUACCAUGCUUCCGCCGAUCUUUUUAUGUGCUGAUUAAGUAAAAAUUGGUACUUCUGUAUUGGCUGGCGAGCCAUGAACAACUAAGCUAACAAGUGGCAUAGUUGACUAUUAGGUACUAAUUUCCAAUUAUAGUUUCUGUCCAAGUUGAAGUUUGAGAUGCACUUCUACGUAUGUUAGAUCAGCUCCGUGCUGAAAGCGAAGGAAAAAAAGGGAUUCAAGGAAUGUGUCAUCCUACGCUUCCAGGUGAUGCCUAAGUUGUUCAGAAAAUUAAUUUUGCGAUGUAAGAUUUCUCAUGCUCAUUACUUAACAUUGGCACUAUUAUUCUCUGUGUUGGCAAUAUUUUUCGAGAACCCGCAACUUCCAAUGAUUAUUGUUGAACAGGCAUGCCAUAUAUUUUAGGCUGAUACUUAUGUAAUGCAAAAUGGAAGUAGAUUGGGAAAACAGAAAGUGUGAUUUUGUACAGCACCUUCUCUUAUGUUCCAUAUAUACAACGGAGUUCUCCCUAAAUCAUGCAGAUAGAUUGUUCUCAAUUAAGAAGCUACAGCCUGUAGGAGAUGGUGCAUUCUCACUAUGUACUUUAUCAGGGAUGAAAGUUCGAGGCUUAUUAUGUAAAUAUCAAAAUGUAUAUUGAGAAGAUAAUACAUGCAUUUCAGUUAGAAGUAAUGUAGAAUAGAAUCUACACAUAUACUUAACUCAGCACAUGAAUAGCCUUACCCUGUUGUUAGCUGUCUCAGUCAGGAGUAAUGCAGAUUAGAAUCUAUAUCCUCUGUAAUGCAGCUCUGUCCAUGUAUCAACGCCGUCUAGCUCCGCCAGUGGAAACAUAUAUUGCCGUUUCGCCAUGUAAUUCAUCGUGAACAUAUUUACUAGCGCUGCAACUUUAUUAGUAUCAUCCCCUACAUUGCUAAUCUCACAUUACAUGUACUGAAUAUUCAGGCCAACAAAUCAGCAAAUAUGCACUCAGAAAAAUAAUUAACACUAGCUAUGCAUGACUAAAAGUACCAUAAUGGACAUGGAAAACAAAAAAUAGGCAGCCAUGUUGAUUGUGUGCACACUGUGAUGAUAUAUAUAUAUAUCCAUUCUCUGUCCAUUUUGUGUGCUCCUUUAUAUUUAAACUUUAAUAAAUCCUUGCACCUACAUUGUGUAACAACCCAUAGAUAUUUGCUUUCAACCAUACUCAUACUGUCAUACACCGAUAUUCAUUUGGGGAUUUCUUUAUAUACACUACAGCCUACUCUCACAUGUAAGUAUUUUCUUGAUGCAGAGCAAUCUACAGGAUAUUUUCUACAGCAAACAAAUUUAAGAAGUGGAAGCCAUCGAGAAAAUGAAGUGUCAACUAUGCCUGCUCAUAGGUUGUUAAAUUCUGCGAGAUUUGAGGUUCUGGAGCCAUGGAAUGCUGGUAUCAUCCAAUGAGGACACACAAACAUGCUCAAGACGGCUGGUCUCAUUCUCUACAUAGAUUCUACAUAAUUUCAAAUUGUGGAUCUUCUUUUUAGAAGAAUUGUGGAUCUUUCUAUGAAUAUUUGUUGUAUUCCUUUUGCUCAUGUUCUUCUUUUAAGUGAGUAAUUUUCAAGGGUGAAAAGUGUGGUGUCAAGGGAUUUCCUUUGCUCGGGCUUUCUCAUCAUCAUUGGAUUCUUAUGUUUUGUAUCCUUUGUUAUAUAGAGAGGAAAGGGCAAGUGACAUUUAUUCA
Long non-coding RNA from Lolium perenne, 2897 nucleotides. RefSeq lists it as uncharacterized. Lineage: Eukaryota; Viridiplantae; Streptophyta; Magnoliopsida; Poales; Poaceae. The record is from RefSeq and is a predicted model, not a curated record.